GAUGAACGCUGGCGGCGUGCUUAACACAUGCAAGUCGAACGGGAUCCAAGGAGCGUUUUUCGUUUUUUGGUGAGAGUGGCGAACGGGUGAGUAACACGUGAGUAACCUGUCCUUUUCUUUGGGAUAAGCUCCUGAAAGGGUGUUUAAUACCUUAUGUUCUGUCUGCCUCGCAUGGGGUGGGUGGGAAAGAUUUUUUCGGUGAAGGGUGGGCUCGCGGUCUAUCAGCUUGUUGGUGGGGUGAUGGCUUACCAAGGCUUUGACGGGUAGCCGGCCUGAGAGGGUGGGGGGGGAAAUUGGGAGUGAGAUACGGCCGAGAGUCCUACGGGAGGCAGCAGUGGGGAAUAUUGCAGAAGGGUAGGACGCCUGAGUGAGUAAGGAUGCGUGCGGGAGGAGGGCCUUCGGGGUGGAAACCGAUUUCGCCUGGGACGAAGCGUGAGUGACGGUAAUGGGUAAAGAAGCACCGGCUAACUACGUG
This 475-nucleotide ribosomal RNA is filed under the name uncultured bacterium. Its description in RNAcentral is "partial 16S ribosomal RNA". It matches the Rfam family "Bacterial small subunit ribosomal RNA", at positions 28 to 507 of the family's 1533-position model. The record is from RNAcentral.